AAGGCUUCAGUACGACCCAGUCAGAACUAUAAGUCUCAAAGCCCCGACGAGUAGGGUGGCGUGCCGGUGAGCGUUGAAGGCCAAGACGUGAGUCAGGCUGGAGCCGCCGGUAGUGCAGAUCUUGGUGGUAGUAGCAAGUACUCUGGUGAACCAACCUGGAGCUGUGAGGUCUGGAUCAGGGUUCCAUGUCAACAGUGAUUGAACAUGGGUGAGUCGAUCCUAAGCCAACUGUGAAAGCAGUGACAUCCCGACAAAGGGGCUCGUUUGCAUACGCGUUAUCCUCUCUCACGCGCAUGCAAACAAAAACUUGGCGUGUUCUGAUUACGCUCAAAGCAUUAUAUGGUUUGUGAGAGAGAAAAAGGCGCGCGUGUGUGUCCGCCCUGCGUCUGGUUCUAUGUCUGGCGAAAGGGAAUGGGGACUUUGUUCCUUGACCGGUCCCGGCACCCUCGAUAGGCGCCAAUCAAUGGUCCAUGCAAAUGGAACCAGGCCACAGCCGCCGGCAGUCGCCCGAGGAAGAGUUUUCUUUUCUGCUUAACGCACGAGAUCAUCCCUGGAAACAGUUCGGCUGGCGAAAGGGUGCCCCGUUGCGGCAGAGCGCCACGACUGUCGUGCGCGUCUCGGUGUUCCUGCCGGUCCGUGAAGACGUGGUCGAGGGGAUUGCUAUGUUGUAUAAAAACGCCCGACAAGUUCGGGACGGACCGUACCCUAUAUCCGCAUCUGGUCUCCAAGGUUCGUAGCCUCUGCAGAGUCAGACACAUGUAGGUAAGGGAAGUCGGCAAACUCGAUCCGUAACUUCGGGAAAAGGAUUGGCUCUGAGGGCCGAGCUGGGCCGGGCCUUGCCUGCAAAGCAGUACCUAUAGUGACCGGAGUUUGAGGAGUGCGAGGGGCUCUAGUAGCUGGCUGCGCGCGUUCACGCGUGUGUGGUCACGAACGAGUCUACCGCUCCGCUCCAACCACGAACGGCUGUGACGGCAAGGGCUCUGGGCGGGAGCGAUCAAACCGUUCCCAGCUCGUCUGGGUGUCGGCGGUGCUCCGUCUGACCCAUACGGCUCCAGCGGCUAGCGGCUAACUCAGAACUGUCAUGGACCAAGGGAAUCCGACUGUCUAAUUAAAACAAAGCGUCGUGACGGCCCCUGUUGGGUGUUGACGCGACGUGAUUUC
RNAcentral lists this ribosomal RNA (1161 nucleotides) under Niphargus dimorphus. Its description in RNAcentral is "eukaryotic LSU rRNA". It matches the Rfam family "Eukaryotic large subunit ribosomal RNA", at positions 1357 to 2198 of the family's 3401-position model. The record is from RNAcentral. Lineage: Eukaryota; Metazoa; Arthropoda; Malacostraca; Amphipoda; Niphargidae.